AGCCAAGAAUACAUCGCAUUAGUCAUCAGGAAACAUACAAGUACACAAUUUGCAAAAGGAAAAAAGAAAAGGAAAACAGUGCAUUUUUAAAACAUCUUAGUGCAUUAACUCCUCCCCCAUACUUAAUUAGGAUAAUAAUUUACACCUGGCUCUUUGCUGGUUUUCUUUUCUAUUCUCUGCCCCCUCCUUCCCCAAUGCUGCUUCAGAUUGGUUUCACAAGUGUUGGAAGGUUUUUCUGCGUCUGCGGUGAAUACCAAGUACAGGUGACUGCAACCGCAGGCUGACAAUCCUGUGUAGAACCAACAUUGCUAUCUUACCCUCUAAAAAAUAAUAAUGUUGACCUAGAUAAGGCACCUGCAAUAACACACGGACGGCAGCUGGGGAAGCACUGCAGACACCAUCAGGAAGCAUUGGCUACGGAAAGAAGAGCUCCCUGAACCUGAUAAGUAAUCUUGGCUGCUGUUAAUUUCAGAAUUUGUCAUUUGCAUUUUGCCCUUAAACUGGAGGACACUGCCUGAGGCAGAUUCUGAACAGAUGCUGUGCAAACUCAUCCUGCUGCUUUGAACGGAUUUAGGAACAAGCCUUCUUCAGGCCUAGCCCUGUGCUGGCCGAUUGCCACCCCCUCCAAUGAAGUUGAUUGCUUUCCAGGUGAAAUCCCAUCCAAGCGUGGCUGGCUCCCAGCUCUUGAGUUCAGCUUUCUCUUCGGUGGGCUUCCUGGUCAGGACCCCCAGCAUCUCCUUCCCAAGGUCUCUUCUGCGUCAGAACCCAGCGUCUCCUGCUGACUGUGACCCCCCACUUCCCCCCUGCCUUCCUGGCCUGGCCCCCAUCCCCCACUAAGCCAGCGCUAUCCUCCUAAACAUUGGACAGGCUCUGACUCUGGAUGUGACCGGAUGCGAAAUGAAGAGGACUGGACAGAGUGCCUAGGCAUUGGGAGGACAUUCAUCUGACGAACAUUGAUUGAGCACCUGCUGUGUGAGAGACACUGGGUCCUGGGGAUACCAAGACGUAUGACACCAUUCCUGCUCUCAGGUGGGAGGGAUAAGACUAAACGGCAAAAAGUGUCACUUGAUGAGAAACAAAGUGCCUUCAGAGGGCGGAACCAUUGCUGGCAUCACAUGUCCCCCCAGCAAAGCCACAGUGUUACCUGGGUUAGUAACUGGGCCUGGAGUUCCCUUCUGUUAAAUGGGACAGAAAUCUACACCUCAAAGACAAUACCUGGCGCUUUUCACAUCAAUGCAUGUGUAUAUGUCGGCACCUGCCUUUUACGCGUAAACCCGUAUCACGGCAUUUUAUGGUCAUUUGUUAGUGUGUAAGCUUCACGUUGGUGGUGAAGAUCGGGGAGAGUGAUGUUCACAGGUGUGGGAUAGGUGUGUCAUUUUGAAUCUUUAGGGUUAGCUGCAAUCUGUGCUUUCUUGUUAUGGCUGGUCCUUGUCCGCAUAUGUGCGUGCUAGAGAGAAGGGGAGAGAGAAUGGGUGGCCUGGGAUAGAAAAUGGUUCCUGCUGACUCACAUGAUCCGUUUUCUCAUUGCCUGAGUUUCUAGCGAGAUCAGCCAGAAGAAAAAUCAGAAUGAGAAAGGGUUUCCUGGUAGAAGAGGAGACCAUUUUCGGGGUGUGGUAUGUGAUUUAAGAUUUGGUGCCCUGGUCCUGAGAUGGGAUGAGGUGUGCUGUUUGGGUACAUGUGUGGCUUCUCUGUGGUCCAGCUGUUCCAGGGGUCAGCAUGCAUGCUUGCCGGCUGGAAGGCCACCCUGGGACAGGGGACACGGUGGUCCUGGGAGGCCCCCUGGGUGGGAAGGGGAGCAGUCGUUGCUGGGCACUUUUGCCUCAGGGGGACACAGCACG
Molecule: non-coding RNA, 1838 nt
Organism: Delphinapterus leucas (beluga whale)
Lineage: Eukaryota; Metazoa; Chordata; Mammalia; Artiodactyla; Monodontidae
Source: RefSeq, a predicted model, not a curated record